GACGAACGCUGGCGGCGUGCUUAACACAUGCAAGUCGAGCGGUAAGGCCCUUUCGGGGGUACACGAGCGGCGAACGGGUGAGUAACACGUGGGUGACCUGCCCUUAGCUCUGGGAUAAGCCUGGGAAACUGGGUCUAAUACCGGAUAUGACUCCAUGACGCAUGUUGUGGGGUGGAAAGCCUUGUGCGGCUAGGGAUGGGCCCGCGGCCUAUCAGCUUGUUGGUGGGGUGAUGGCCUACCAAGGCGACGACGGGUAGCCGGCCUGAGAGGGCGACCGGCCACACUGGGACUGAGACACGGCCCAGACUCCUACGGGAGGCAGCAGUGGGGAAUCUUGCGCAAUGGGCGAAAGCCUGACGCAGCGACGCCGCGUGAGGGAUGACGGCCUGGUUGUAAC
Molecule: ribosomal RNA, 397 nt
Filed under: uncultured bacterium
Lineage: Bacteria
Description: bacterial SSU rRNA
Rfam family: Bacterial small subunit ribosomal RNA
Source: RNAcentral